Molecule: ribosomal RNA, 549 nt
Filed under: Triticum aestivum (bread wheat)
Lineage: Eukaryota; Viridiplantae; Streptophyta; Magnoliopsida; Poales; Poaceae
Description: partial small subunit ribosomal RNA
Source: RNAcentral
AUGGGCCACAUUCCUCGGCCCCCGAGCAUGAUUUCCCUCCUCGAGAUCCAUGUUGCCAAGGAGGGCUGGCACAUCCCCAAGAAACAAAGGCGCCUCCAUGGGCUUCGCAAGCCCGAUGUAACCUCGCUGCUCCAUGCUGCAGCGCGACUUGAGCCGAAGGAGGUCAUCUUUGGCCUCCCCUUGGAAAUAAUCAAUCCCUAUAUCGUGGAUCUGCCUUGCUUCCACCGUGCCACCUCGAUCACGAUGGAACUUCCCGUCGUCAUCUGUCGUGUGCCAAACGGUGUCGAGUUCACCGCACUCAAGACGUUGACUCUAUCAUCCUGCUACAUCAACAUCGUUGCCAUGCUCUCAUGUUGCCCACGCUUGCGCACGCUCCACCUCAAGCGUGUUGGCAUACAUGAGCACGACCUGACAAUCCACUCUCCGUCACUUCAGGAGAUUGUAGUGGAUGGGAAUUCAUGGAUAGACCAUGUAGACAUCGUUGCCCCCAUGCUUAAGAAAUUUACCAUGUCCUUUGCCACAAUGGAGGAGUCCAAAAUUUUCUUCUAA